Molecule: ribosomal RNA, 484 nt
Filed under: uncultured bacterium
Lineage: Bacteria
Description: partial 16S ribosomal RNA
Rfam family: Bacterial small subunit ribosomal RNA
Source: RNAcentral
AUUGAACGCUGGCGGCAGGCCUAACACAUGCAAGUCGAGCGGAUGAAGGGAGCUUGCUCCUGGAUUCAGCGGCGGACGGGUGAGUAAUGCCUAGGAAUCUGCCUGGUAGUGGGGGAUAACGUCCGGAAACGGGCGCUAAUACCGCAUACGUCCUGAGGGAGAAAGUGGGGGAUCUUCGGACCUCACGCUAUCAGAUGAGCCUAGGUCGGAUUAGCUAGUUGGUGGGGUAAAGGCCUACCAAGGCGACGAUCCGCAACUGGUCUGAGAGGAUGAUCAGUCACACUAGAACUGAGACACGGUCAAGACUACUACGGGAGGCAGCAGUCGGGAAUAUUGGACAAUGGUGGAAAACCUGGUCCAGCCAUGCCGCGUGUGUGGAGAAGGUCUUCGGAUUGUAAAGACCGUUAAGUGGGGAGGAAGCGCAGUAAGUUAAUACCUUGCUGUUUUGACGUUACCAACAGAAUAAGCACCGGCUAACUUCGUG